This is a long non-coding RNA of Protobothrops mucrosquamatus (brown spotted pit viper), 248 nucleotides long. RefSeq lists it as uncharacterized. The record is from RefSeq and is a predicted model, not a curated record. Lineage: Eukaryota; Metazoa; Chordata; Lepidosauria; Squamata; Viperidae. The transcript is spliced from 3 exons.
AGCAAGAAAGGUUUCCCACGGAGGAGUGAUUCUGUGGAGAAAGCUCAGGAAGCAGCAUCACUAGUAGCUCAACGAUCAGUGAAUCCUCGUGAGAUCUUCAAACAGAAGGAGAGGUCCAUGUCUACAGAAGCAGCAGCCACCAUCAACUCCCAGCCAGGCAAGUUACGGAGCCCUUUCCUCCAGGAGAGAAGUCAGGUGGAGAAUCCUGUCUCCCCUGUCCAACCUGCUGCACAAGAUGUUCCUCCUCC